RNAcentral lists this ribosomal RNA (253 nucleotides) under uncultured bacterium. RNAcentral's name for it is "partial 16S ribosomal RNA". It matches the Rfam family "Bacterial small subunit ribosomal RNA", at positions 524 to 776 of the family's 1533-position model. The record is from RNAcentral.
UACGUAGGGUGCAAGCAUUAAUCGGAAUUAUUGGGCGUAAAGGGCGCGUAGGCGGACUUUUAAGUCAGAUGUGAAAUUCCGGGGCUCAACCUCGGAGCUGCAUUUGAAACUGUGAGUCUAGAGGGUUGACGGAGAAAACGGAAUUCCACGUGUAGCGGUGAAAUGCGUAGAUAUCAGGAGGAACACCGGUGGCGAAGGCGGGACUCUGGGCCGAUACUGACGCUGAGGAGCGAAAGCGUGGGGAGCAAACAGG